GACCUCGUAGCUCAGUUGGUAGAGCAUUGGACUAGUAUCCCAAAGGUCGCGGGUUCAAUCCCCACCGUGGCCA
Molecule: transfer RNA, 73 nt
Filed under: Paramuricea clavata
Lineage: Eukaryota; Metazoa; Cnidaria; Anthozoa; Malacalcyonacea; Plexauridae
Rfam family: tRNA
About the family: Transfer RNA (tRNA) molecules are approximately 80 nucleotides in length.
Source: Rfam by way of RNAcentral